RNAcentral lists this ribosomal RNA (395 nucleotides) under uncultured bacterium. Its description in RNAcentral is "bacterial SSU rRNA". It matches the Rfam family "Bacterial small subunit ribosomal RNA", at positions 94 to 486 of the family's 1533-position model. The record is from RNAcentral.
AGUGGCGAACGGGUGAGUAAUACAUCGGAACGUACCUUAUCGUGGGGGAUAACGCAGCGAAAGCUGUGCUAAUACCGCAUACGCCCUGAGGGGGAAAGCGGGGGAUCGAAAGACCUCGCGCGAUUAGAGCGGCCGAUGCCUGAUUAGCUUGUUGGUGGGGUAAAAGCCCACCAAGGCGACGAUCAGUAGCUGGUCUGAGAGGACGAUCAGCCACACUGGGACUGAGACACGGCCCAGACUCCUACGGGAGGCAGCAGUGGGGAAUUUUGGACAAUGGGGGAAACCCUGAUCCAGCAAUGCCGCGUGAGUGAAGAAGGCCUUCGGGUUGUAAAGCUCUUUUGUCAGGGAAGAAACACCGGCUCUAACACAGUCCGGGAAUGACGGUACCUGAAGAA